This 255-nucleotide ribosomal RNA is filed under the name uncultured bacterium. RNAcentral's name for it is "partial 16S ribosomal RNA". It matches the Rfam family "Bacterial small subunit ribosomal RNA", at positions 524 to 776 of the family's 1533-position model. The record is from RNAcentral.
GACAGAGGCCUCAAGCGUUAGGCGGAAUCACUGGGCUUAAAGCGUGUGUAGGCGGAUCGUUAAGUGUCUUGUGAAAUCCCACGGCUCACCCGUGGAACGGCUGGGCAUACUGGCGAUCUUGGGCCAACUAGGGGCAACUGGAACAAGCGGUGGAGCGGUGAAAUGCGUAGAUAUGCGGAGGAACACCGAUGGCGAAGGCAAUCCCCGUGGGCCUGCACUGACGCUCAUGCACGAAAGCCGUGGGGAGCAAACAGG